This is a long non-coding RNA of Carlito syrichta (Philippine tarsier), 814 nucleotides long. RefSeq lists it as uncharacterized. The transcript has 5 exons. NCBI's taxonomy places the organism in Eukaryota, Metazoa, Chordata, Mammalia, Primates, Tarsiidae. The record is from RefSeq and is a predicted model, not a curated record.
GGGCGCGCGGCCUCUUGGAGGCGGAUGACUGCGCUUCCUGCUUCCCACCAGCCGGCGCCCCCUUCUCCUGCAGCUCUCUGACCCGCGCCCCCGAUGGGCUCCCGCCGUCCAGAGGCUGAGGAUAUCCCUGGGAGUAUCAUGUGGCUGUGCUCAGUGGCUGAGAGAUGUCCUCAGGAAGAAUGUGGGUUGCGAGGUCCCAGAUCCAUGCCAAGCACUGCUAGAGAACAUGGCAGGCUCCCAAGAACACCACGGCCCCAAGAUCCUUUUGAACGUGGUACUUGGUAACAUCUGGCGGCGGAUAACAGUUGGCUUGACGGAUAUGUCACCCCUGCCUUAGAAGUUCUCCAGCACCUUCCAUAGAGGUUUCAACCUUAGAUCCAGAGACUGCCUGAGGAAGUCCUAGGCCCAUGAAGUCUGAUCCUGGGGAUGGCCUGGGAUCUGGGUUUGCUGAUACUUCUCACCAUGAAUGUCUUGGUGUGUUCGUGGACAGCAGAGGGGCAGAGAAUGGAGAAUGAGGUCGCCGGUCGCCACAGUAGCAUCACCAGAGCUGCUACCUGCUCAGUGCAUCACGAAACAACUUGCACUCUGCAUGAGAAUCGGGGUUCAGACAUGGGAGAGUUAAGCUGUCUCUGAGUUUUGACAACAGUGCCUCCAUGGCCAGGGAGGGCAAGCUCCGUGUCCCUCUGCUGUGCCGGGAAUGACUUUUUAAUGAACGAGUUUUUCUCUUGGAUUUGUAACUGCUGUUCACUAUCACCCACCCAUUUAAUAAACCUUACACUUGGUCACUCCCAUUGAAAUCAGUGACAGCCCAUGA